UUCGUAGGUGGUCAACUAAGUCAUGCGUGAAAUCCCUCAGCUUAACUGGGGAACUGCGUCUGAUACUGGUUGACUUGAGUGCAGGAGAGGAACGCGGAAUUCCAGGUGUAGCGGUGAAAUGCGUAGAUAUCUGGAGGAACACCGGUGGCGAAGGCGGCGUUCUGGACUGUAACUGACACUGAGGAACGAAAGCCAGGGGAGCAAACG
This 207-nucleotide ribosomal RNA is filed under the name uncultured bacterium. Its description in RNAcentral is "partial 16S ribosomal RNA". It matches the Rfam family "Bacterial small subunit ribosomal RNA", at positions 568 to 774 of the family's 1533-position model. The record is from RNAcentral.